This 774-nucleotide ribosomal RNA is filed under the name uncultured Neocallimastigales. Its description in RNAcentral is "partial large subunit ribosomal RNA". It matches the Rfam family "Eukaryotic large subunit ribosomal RNA", at positions 18 to 644 of the family's 3401-position model. Lineage: Eukaryota; Fungi; Neocallimastigomycota; Neocallimastigomycetes; Neocallimastigales. The record is from RNAcentral.
UCAGACGAUGCGUCAUGCAUAUCAAUAAGCGGAGGAAAAGAAACUAACAAGGAUUCCCCUAGUAACGGCGAGUGAAGCGGGAAGAGCUCAAAUUUGAAAUCUUAAAGGGUUUCCCUUUACGAAUUGUAGUUUAAAGAAGUGUUUUCUGUUGAGGUUUUGGUAAAAGUUCUUUGGAAUAGGACAUCAUAGAGGGUGAGAAUCCCGUAUUUGACCUUUACUUUCAACUUUGUGAUACACUUUCAAAGAGUCGGAUUGUUUGGGAAUGCAGUCCAAAAUGGGUGGUAAAUUUCAUCUAAAGCUAAAUAUUGGCGAGAGACCGAUAGCGAACAAGUACCGUGAGGGAAAGAUGAAAAGAACUUUGAAAAGAGAGUUAAACAGUACGUGAAAUUGUCAAAAGGGAAGCGUUUGACACCAGUGUUGUUUUUCUGAAAAUCAAUUAAAGAACUGUUUAUGCUAAGUUGUUUAGACUUUAUCAGCUAUCUGUUUAGUUUUGAGCUUUUCUUUAAUGCACUUUUCAGUUAACAAGUCAACAUCAAUUUCUUUUGCUGUAAAAAAGCUUGAGGAAGGUGGCUUGAGAUUCGUCUUAAGUGUUUAUAGCCUCUUGCCUAUGCAGUCGGAGAGAUUGAGGUCUGCAGCGUAGAUCCUUCGGGGCUAAAUGCAUUUGUGCUAAGUUAUAGCAUUUUAUAGACAACUUGUUGACUAUGAUUUGUCUUGUAGCUUACUCGCUUAUGUUAUUUUACCUACGCUUAGGAUGUUGAAUCUGUGCGAGACUAC